UGGCACUCCGUGGAACGAAACGGA
RNAcentral lists this microRNA (24 nucleotides) under Haemonchus contortus (barber pole worm). RNAcentral describes it as "hco-miR-5926". The record is from miRBase by way of RNAcentral. Lineage: Eukaryota; Metazoa; Nematoda; Chromadorea; Rhabditida; Trichostrongylidae.